Molecule: non-coding RNA, 45 nt
Filed under: Trichobilharzia regenti
Lineage: Eukaryota; Metazoa; Platyhelminthes; Trematoda; Strigeidida; Schistosomatidae
Source: RNAcentral
AUCCAGAUGACGAGUCCCAAAUAGGGCGACAUGAGCAUCCUGGAU